UUCAAAGUUCAAGUGGUGACUAGAUACAAAUAAUCUGAGAACAAGUAAUAACAUAAUCAUGCAUCAAUCAAUAAUAAAUUUUCGGACUAUGCACAUUGUACUCAUAAUGACAACUAUGCUCUUUUAAUUGGUGCAUAAAGUUAGAAGAUGAAGACUCAACAUAAAAGUAAAAGAAAGGCCCUUCGUAGAGGGAAGCAGGGAUUACUCAUGUGCUAGAGCUUUUAGAGAUUUUUA
This 234-nucleotide long non-coding RNA is filed under the name Hordeum vulgare. RNAcentral describes it as "long non-coding RNA (HVUL_LNC009523)". Lineage: Eukaryota; Viridiplantae; Streptophyta; Magnoliopsida; Poales; Poaceae. The record is from RNAcentral.